GAUCAUGGCUCAGGAUGAACGCUGGCGGCGUGCUUAACACAUGCAAGUCGAGCGAAGCACUUUAAUCGAUUUCUUCGGAUUGAAAUUUUAGUGACUGAGUGGCGGACGGGUGAGUAACGCGUGGGUAACCUGCCUCACACAGGGGGAUAACAGUUGGAAACGGCUGCUAAUACCGCAUAAGCGCACAGUACCGCAUGGUACAGUGUGAAAAACUCCGGUGGUGUGAGAUGGACCCGCGU
Molecule: ribosomal RNA, 239 nt
Filed under: uncultured bacterium
Lineage: Bacteria
Description: partial 16S ribosomal RNA
Rfam family: Bacterial small subunit ribosomal RNA
Source: RNAcentral